This is a non-coding RNA of Jackrogersella minutella, 135 nucleotides long. The record is from the annotation of a GenBank genome assembly. NCBI's taxonomy places the organism in Eukaryota, Fungi, Ascomycota, Sordariomycetes, Xylariales, Hypoxylaceae.
GGGCUUGUGGUUUAGUGGUAUAAUACUCCCUUAGCACGUGACGAUGCAUGUCGCCGCCAUUGUUCACGAUGGUUGGUGUUUGUUUGAACCGUUCUAACUUGGGAGUGGUCCGGGGUUCGAUUCCCCGCGAGUCCA